GACGAACGCUGGCGGCGUGCUUAACACAUGCAAGUCGAACGGAAAGACCCUGCUUUUGUGGGGUGCUCGAGUGGCGAACGGGUGAGUAACACGUGAGUCACCUGCCCUUGACUUUGGGAUAACUUCAGGAAACUGGGGCUAAUACCGGAUAGGAGCUCCUGCUGCAUGGUGGGGGUUGGAAAGUUUCGGCGGUUGGGGAUGGACUCGCGGCUUAUCAGCUUGUUGGUGGGGUAGUGGCAUACCAAGGCUUUGACGGGUAGCCGGCCUGGGAGGGUGGCCGGCCACAUUGGGACUGAGAGACGGCCCAGACUCCUACGGGAGGCAGCAGUGGGGAAUAUGGCACAAUGGGCGGGAGCCUGAGGCAGCAACGCCGCGUGCGGGAUGACGGCCUUCGGGUUGUAAACCGCUUUCGCCUGUGACGAAGCGUGAGUGACGGUAAUGGGUAAAGAAGCACCGGCUAACUACGUG
Molecule: ribosomal RNA, 468 nt
Filed under: uncultured bacterium
Lineage: Bacteria
Description: partial 16S ribosomal RNA
Rfam family: Bacterial small subunit ribosomal RNA
Source: RNAcentral